Non-coding RNA from Acanthosepion pharaonis, 114 nucleotides. NCBI's taxonomy places the organism in Eukaryota, Metazoa, Mollusca, Cephalopoda, Sepiida, Sepiidae. The record is from the annotation of a GenBank genome assembly.
UUAUGGCCAUAUCACGUUGAAACACCAGUUCUCGUACGAUUGCCGAAGUUAAGCAACGUCGAACAUGGUUUGUACCUAGAUGGGUGACCGCUUGCAAAUAUCAGGUACUGUAAG